AGCGAACGCUGGCGGCAGGCCUAACACAUGCAAGUCGAACGAACCUUUCGGGGUUAGUGGCGGACGGGUGAGUAACACGUGGGAACGUGCCUUUAGGUUCGGAAUAACUCAGGGAAACUUGUGCUAAUACCGAAUGUGCCCUUCGGGGGAAAGAUUUAUCGCCUUUAGAGCGGCCCGCGUCUGAUUAGCUAGUUGGUUGAGGUAAUGGCUCACCAAGGCGACGAUCAGUAGCUGGUCUGAGAGGAUGAUCAGCCACAUUGGGACUGAGACACGGCCCAAACUCCUACGGGAGGCAGCAGUGGGGAAUCUUGCGAAAUGGGCGAAAGCAUGACGCAGCCAUGCCGCGUGAAUGAUGAAGGUCUUAGGAUUGUAAAAUUCUUUCACCGGGGACGAUAAUGACGGUACCCGGAGAAGAAGCCCCGGCUAACUUCGUG
Molecule: ribosomal RNA, 434 nt
Filed under: uncultured bacterium
Lineage: Bacteria
Description: partial 16S ribosomal RNA
Rfam family: Bacterial small subunit ribosomal RNA
Source: RNAcentral